GUUUCUGAGCCGCAGCUGGAACUGCACCAGCCAGAGGGCAAACGUCCCUCGGAUCAGCGUCUUUGGGAAAUGGAGGACAGCAGGGAAAGCACCUUGUACGGCUCGUGGUUCUCUGAGAACAGACGCCCAGGGGACAACUGAUCCACCAUGUGGGUCUGUGUUCCCAAGGAUGAGGAUGAUUGUUAUAAUGGCGGCGGUGCUGAUGUGAGGAAGAUGGUGAAGACUGGGAUAUGAUCCAGAUGAUGAUGAUGGUGGUGAUGAUGGUGGUGAUGGUGUUGGUGGUGGUGAUGGUGGUGGUCGUCAUGAUGGUGGUGAUGGUGGUGAUGAUGGUGAUGGUGAUGCUGGUGAUGGUGGUGAUGAUGAUGUUGGUGGUGAUGGUGGUGGUGGUGAUGAUGGUGNGGAUAUGAUCCAGAUGAUGAUGAUGGUGGUGAUGAUGGUGGUGAUGGUGUUGGUGGUGGUGAUGGUGGUGGUCAUCAUGAUGGUGGUGAUGAUGGUGGUGAUGGUGGUGAUGAUGGUGAUGGUGAUGCUGGUGAUGGUGGUGAUGAUGAUGUUGGUGGUGAUGGUGGUGGUGGUGAUGAUGGUGGUGAUAACGGUGGUGAUGAUGAUGGUGGUGACAGUGAUGGUGGCACUGAUGGUGAUGAGGAGGAUACUGAUGAGGAAGAUGGUGAAGGCCACGAUAUGAUCCAGAUGAUGAUGGUGGUGGUGGUGAUGAUGAUAAUGGUAAUAGUGAUGGUGGUGUUGGUGAUGGUGGUGAUGGAGGUGGUGAUGAUGGUGAUGGAGGUGAUAUUGAUGGUGAUGGUGGUGAUGAUGAUGGUGAUGGUAGUGAUGGAGAUGAUUAUGGUGAUGGUGAUGGUGAUGGUGGUGAUGGUGGUAAUGGUGAUGGUGGUGAUAACAGUGGUGAUGAUAAUGGUGAUGAUGAUGGUGGUGAUGUGGUGGUGAUGAUGGUGGAGGUGUUGGCGAUAGUGGUGAUGGUGAUGGUGAUGGUGAUGGUGGUGAUGAUGAUGAUGGUGAUGGUGGUGGUGGUACUGAUGAUGAGGAGGAGGAUACUGAUGAGGAAGAUGGAAAUGGUGGAGGUCAAGAUAGUCAUAGUGAAGGUGACGGUGCUGAUGAUGGACAGGUGGUGGCGUGAUGAUGGUGGUGGGGAGGGCGAUGGUGAUGGUGUGCUCCGAGUCUCGUCCUGGUCCUGGUGCUGACGGUUUAACCAGGAAGAGUUCUAUCUAGAUGCUGUGGGAUGACGUCCGCAGGUGUGGAACUCUCCCCAGGAACAGAACGCCCUGCCUUCUUGAGAGGAUAUAUAUUUUUUUUCCCUGAGAAACGAUAUCCUGAAUAGAAACGAGAGCGCUUCUUCUUCUCCUUUCCAUGUUCCAAGAAGGGUGUCGAAUAAUUUUGAUCUUUCCAGAAACGACCGUCCUGGGGGAUUCAAAGCGAUUCGGGGAACAGGCGGGAUGGCUGUCACGGGUUUCCUCUGAAAAGCGCUCAGUUGGGGCUGGGAUUCGGGGACUCCGUGCGCGGGAACAUCUGCUGCUGAGGUGUGGGGUUUGCAAAUUCUGGGAAUCUGAGUCACGAGGAGCCGAAGGUGGGAGGUGCUGUUGGACCUGCAGACUCUUAUCUCUUGUUCUGAAAGAUUGCUGCAAAUUCAGACUCUAACAACUGAGCCACAGAAACGGCUCCUCCCGAUCCUUUACGGUACUGAUGAGGGAGCCCACAGGAGCCCACGGGAGACAUGGGGAGAGAGCGGUCCCGCCGUGCCGAGUCCUCUUUCUUGCAGACACAACUUCCUCUUUACCUGGUCCAAUAGCCGCGGCUUCUUGCCUUGCCUCCUCUCCACCGGGUGGUUUUUUAACACGGAUUCUUAGCCCGGAACCACAGGCAUCAAAACAGACUGGACUCCGUGGUUCUAAGGGAAGCCGCUUGCUGCAGACCCGAGCUGGGACCUCCGUUCUCCACGAACCCCUCGUGCACGGAGAAAUCUUCCGAUUCCUUUCCCAGGCAUCACCAUGGAGGCCGCAUCAGGAUGGGAUAACCAGGGGGGUCACGACCCUAGAAUUCCCAGGGAGGCUCUAAGCCCGUCCCAUAAGAUGACCUAGUGAUUGCACGGGACCCGUGUGCACCGUCCUACGUACUUUAGACCAGUUGUGCGUGACUUAAUACCCCGCGCAACGCAGAUGCUCGUCCCCCCCAUCAUUACGGGAUCACGACCGGAAAAUACGUCUGCACGGGAUGCAAUCUGGGCACAGAGGACGCACAGCAGGGACCACUGUAUACAGACCCCCUCUGACUCCUGGGCACAGAGCACGCACAGCAGGGACGACUGUAUACAGACCCCUUCUGACUCCUGGGCACACACCACGCACAGCAGGGACGACUGUAUACAGAGCCCCUCUGACCCCUGGGCACAGAGCACGCACAGCAGGGACGACUGUAUACAGAUCCCUCUGACUCCUGGGCACAGAGCACGCACAGUAGGGAUGACUGUAUACAGACCCCCUGUGACUCCUGGGCUCAGAGCAAGCACAGUAGGGACGACUGUAUACAGACCCCUUCUGACUCCUGGGCACAGAGCACGCACAGCAGGGACGACUGUAUACAGAUCCGCUCUGACUCCUGGGCACAGAGCACGCACAGCAGGGACGACUGUAUACAGACCCCCUCUGACUCCUGGGCACAGACCACGCACAGCAGGGACAACCGUAUACACACCCGCAUCUGACUCCUGGGCACAGACCAGGUACAGCAGGGACGACUGUAUACAGACCCUCUCUGACUCCUGGGCACAGACCAGGCACAGCAGGGACGACUGUAUACACACUCGGCCUCUGACUCCUGGGCACAGAGCACGCACAGCAGGGACCACUGUAUAAACACUCAGCCUCUGACUCCUGGGUACACAGCACGCACAGCAGGGACGACUGUAUACAGACCCGCCUCUGCCUCCUGGGCUCAGAGCACGCACAGCAGGGACGACUGUAUACAGACCCCCUCUGACUCCUGGGCACAGAGCACGCACAGCAGGGACGACUGUAUACAGACCCCCUCUGACUCCUGGGCACACACCACACACA
This 3062-nucleotide long non-coding RNA is filed under the name Marmota monax (woodchuck). Lineage: Eukaryota; Metazoa; Chordata; Mammalia; Rodentia; Sciuridae. The record is from RNAcentral.